UCCGCAGGCGGGCAAGCAAGUCGGUGGUGAAAGUUCACGGCUCAACCGUGAAAUUGCCCUCGAUACUGCUUGUCUUGAGUUCGAGAGAGGAUGAUGGAAUUCAUGGUGUAGCGGUGAAAUGCGUAGAGAUCAUGAAGAACACCAGUAGCGAAGGCGGUCAUCUGGCUCGAUACUGACGCUCAGGGACGAAAGCGUGGGGAGCAAACA
This 207-nucleotide ribosomal RNA is filed under the name uncultured bacterium. RNAcentral describes it as "partial 16S ribosomal RNA". It matches the Rfam family "Bacterial small subunit ribosomal RNA", at positions 568 to 774 of the family's 1533-position model. The record is from RNAcentral.